Coffea arabica (coffee) is the source of this 188-nucleotide non-coding RNA. NCBI's taxonomy places the organism in Eukaryota, Viridiplantae, Streptophyta, Magnoliopsida, Gentianales, Rubiaceae. The record is from RefSeq and is a predicted model, not a curated record.
UCAUUGGGCGAAGUGCUAUCCCAAGAAUUACCGAGGAAAUAGCUUCUUCCUUUUCUUCUGGUGGUGCUCGGGGUUAUGAGUAUGGCCCUGCUUUCAUCCCUGUAGUGAUUUGUCGCACCUUCCGGGUAGCUGGGGAGAAGUGCUUGGACCAUUAUGUAAGGUUAAGAACUCAAAAGAUAUCAGUUCUG